This 853-nucleotide ribosomal RNA is filed under the name Bacillus subtilis. Its description in RNAcentral is "bacterial SSU rRNA". It matches the Rfam family "Bacterial small subunit ribosomal RNA", at positions 376 to 1228 of the family's 1533-position model. Lineage: Bacteria; Bacillati; Bacillota; Bacilli; Caryophanales; Bacillaceae. The record is from RNAcentral.
CGAAAGUCUGACGGAGCAACGCCGCGUGAGUGAUGAAAGUUUUCGGAUCGUAAAGCUCUGUUGUUAGGGAAGAACAAGUACCGUUCGAAUAGGGCGGUACCUUGACGGUACCUAACCAGAAAGCCACGGCUAACUACGUGCCAGCAGCCGCGGUAAUACGUAGGUGGCAAGCGUUGUCCGGAAUUAUUGGGCGUAAAGGGCUCGCAGGCGGUUUCUUAAGUCUGAUGUGAAAGCCCCCGGCUCAACCGGGGAGGGUCAUUGGAAACUGGGGAACUUGAGUGCAGAAGAGGAGAGUGGAAUUCCACGUGUAGCGGUGAAAUGCGUAGAGAUGUGGAGGAACACAGUGGCGAGGCGACUCUCUGGUCUGUAACUGACGCUGAGGAGCGAAAGCGUGGGGAGCGAACAGGAUUAGAUACCUGGAGUCCACGCCGUAAACGAUGAGUGCUAAGUGUUAGGGGGUUCCGCCCCUUAGUGCUGCAGCUAACGCAUAAGCACUCCGCCUGGGGAGACGGUCGCAAGACUGAAACUCAAAGGAAUUGACGGGGGCCCGCACAAGCGGUGGAGCAUGUGGUUUAAUUCGAAGCAACGCGAAGAACCUUACCAGGUCUUGACAUCCUCUGACAAUCCUAGAGAUAGGACGUCCCCUUCGGGGGCAGAGUGACAGGUGGUGCAUGGUUGUCGUCAGCUCGUGUCGUGAGAUGUUGGGUUAAGUCCCGCAACGAGCGCAACCCUUGAUCUUAGUUGCCAGCAUUCAGUUGGGCACUCUAAGGUGACUGCCGGUGACAAACCGGAGGAAGGUGGGGAUGACGUCAAAUCAUCAUGCCCCUUAUGACCUGGGCUACACACGUGCUAC